Molecule: non-coding RNA, 23 nt
Filed under: Rattus norvegicus (Norway rat)
Lineage: Eukaryota; Metazoa; Chordata; Mammalia; Rodentia; Muridae
Source: RNAcentral
UUUGAUGCUAUCUCAUUCUUCAC